Molecule: long non-coding RNA, 1626 nt
Filed under: Sus scrofa (pig)
Lineage: Eukaryota; Metazoa; Chordata; Mammalia; Artiodactyla; Suidae
Description: lncRNA (ENSSSCG00060010513.1)
Source: RNAcentral
UGCGGCUCUGAUUCCACAUUGCUGUGGCUGUGGUGUAGGCUGGCAGCUGUAGCUUGGAUUUGACCCCUAGCCUGGGAACUUCCAUAUGCUGCAGGUGCAACCCUAAAAAGCCAAAAAAAAAAAAAAAGCGUAGCCUAAGAACUUGUUUGGGGAUCAGCACAGUUAUCAGGUUACUUGAUAUCUUCAUUUCUGGAUCUGUGAAAUGGGCUUUACUUCUCUAACGCCCUCCCUGUGGCACGUGGAAGACUGAGAGAACAUUUGCAAGGCAUUCUGAAUUCUUUCAAGAGGAGCCAAAGAGGACUACAAGACUUUUAUUCAUUAAAUACAAAAACCUUUCAUCCCCCACCCUACCUGAAGACCUUGGUUAGACAGAAAUAAUGUAGUGACUGUGUUGCAACAUGUUUUUCCUCUGGUCUGUUUCUUAUUCCUCCAGAGUAAGAGGCAUGGACGUUUCAACCUCAACUGAAGGCAUUGAUUGGGAGGGUUUCUCCCAGAGUUGGCCCACUUGGAAACCAGGCAGAAUCAACUGAGGGCCCUUGCCUUGAGCAGAGCAGAGCUCCAGAAAACAAAGUCACAGGACAGAGAGCCCCAGGGAAGAAGUCUGCUGGGAAGAAAAGGAUGACAAGGGUGAGUAAUUUCUCUCAAGAAGCCGAGAGGAAGUCAUACUUCUGCUUCCUGGUUGGCCCUGGUCAUUCUUUCCCUCUGUUUCUCCUCUCUCCAGUCUGCUAGGUAUUAGCUCUGCAGCCUUAGGUCACUCAAUUCCUCAGAAUUUAUGUUCUGAAAUAAGCAGGUAUUUAAUAGGGCCCAUCCAUGUGGCCAAUCUUCUGGGAUAUAUAUAUAUAUAGUCUUUUUAGGGCUGCACCUGCAGGCUAGGGGUUGAAUCAGAGCUGUAGCUGCUGGCCUACGCCAGAGCCACAGCAACACCAGAUUUGAGCCUCGUCUGCAGCCUACACCAUAGCUCACAGCAAUGCCAGAUCCUUAACCCAUGGAGUGAGGCCAGGGAUCAAACUUGCAUCCUCAUGGAUGCUAGUUGGGUUCGUUAACCACUGAGCCACACAGGAACUCCUGGGACCUAUAUUUUGCACCUAUGAGACACGUGGUCUCAUAAUAAGAUCUGUGGAAGGUGGAUGAAGACUGCAGUGGGUUCUGGUUUUGAUGCCCCAAUUCCCCAGCGUUGACCAGGCACUCCCUUCCUGAGCUGUGCCCUUUAGGAGACGGUAGGCUGAACAAGCUCAUCCAACCCACCAGAAAGUCUUGGUCAGUGGCUUUGGAGAAGUCAGAGACUGUGUCCUAUCCUGUUAGGGAGCCUGGUUUCUGGUGUGAGGAAGAGUGAAUCACGACCCUCUCCUACCUGAUCCACUUGCCUAGGAGGAGCUGUGCAGAGUCAUCCUUAUUGAGUAAUGAUAAUUGUUAAAUGACUCCGAGCCAACUCAAAGGUCUGUCUCUACUCUCCUGAAAGCGCUGAUUAUAGAAUAAUGCCCUCCGGUUUCAUAACUGGAUGAAAUCCACAUCAACAUGAGAGAGGGAAGGGGAAGGAGAAAGGGGAGGGAGGGUGGAAGAGUAGAGAGAGGGAAGCAGGCUAGCAUGAGAUCUCUAUAAUUAAUAACCCAUGGCACAGAAAAUUCC